CCCCGUGACUAUAGGGCAUGGGUACUACCUCUUCCCAUUCCGAACAGAGUCGUAAAACUAUGCACCGCCGAUGAUAUUGCUUCGUUAUGUUGUGAGAAAGUAGGUCAUUGCGGGGA
Molecule: non-coding RNA, 116 nt
Organism: Candidatus Azambacteria bacterium RBG_16_47_10
Lineage: Bacteria; Candidatus Azamiibacteriota
Source: Rfam